This is a long non-coding RNA of Amblyraja radiata (thorny skate), 410 nucleotides long. RefSeq lists it as uncharacterized. The record is from RefSeq and is a predicted model, not a curated record. Lineage: Eukaryota; Metazoa; Chordata; Chondrichthyes; Rajiformes; Rajidae. The transcript is spliced from 3 exons.
GUUAACACGGUUAUUAGUGAUGAAGACGAUUCUUUACCCGGGUUAAAUUCUGGAAUGGAUGCCUGAUAGUCAGAGCCCACUCGCAUUCCGACAUCUGCAACAAUAACCAAAAAAAAAGAUAAUAAAUCACCCAAUUUUUUUCAUCACCGCAGAAUGAUGGAAGCCCAGCAUGUCAUAGAUGAGAUGCCAGCCACAAUGUUCUUGCAGUGAAUACACUUUAAGGACUCUCUUUGCAAAUCCACACUGCGAAGAGGUGGGCAAACGUCUCUUCUCUGCAGCAACCGUCCCGAGGGCAGCCUGUGCUGGUAGUAAGAUUCCGGCGGUGCAGCAAUGAUCUGACGACUGAGAGGGUCCCUCUCACUGCCAGCCAAGAAAGGUCUUGGUGCUUGUUGGUGAGUUCUGGCGAUUAG